Molecule: ribosomal RNA, 253 nt
Filed under: uncultured bacterium
Lineage: Bacteria
Description: partial 16S ribosomal RNA
Rfam family: Bacterial small subunit ribosomal RNA
Source: RNAcentral
GACGAACCGUGCAAACGUUAUUCGGAAUCACUGGGCUUAAAGGGCGCGUAGGCGGACAGGUAAGUCAGGGGUGAAAGCCCACGGCUCAACCGUGGAAGGGCCUUUGAUACUGCCUGUCUUGAGGGAGGUAGGGGCGUGCGGAACUUCCGGUGGAGCGGUGAAAUGCGUAGAUAUCGGAAGGAACACCGGUGGCGAAAGCGGCGCGCUGGAUCUCUACUGACGCUGAGGCGCGAAAGCCAGGGGAGCAAACGGG